AAAGAAAAUAACAAUGAUUCCCUCAGUAACGGCGAGCGACGUGGGAUAAGCUCAAAUUUUAAAUCUGUUGGGUUCCACUUAACAGAGUUGUAUUUUGAAGAAACGUUUUCUGCAUCCAGGAUUAGCCUAAAUCCUUUGGGAUAAGGUAUCAUGGAGGGUGAGAAUCCCGUUCAUGGUUAAUCUUAAGGAAGCUCUACGAUACGUUUUCCAAGAGUCGAGUUGUUUGGGAUUGCAGCUCAAAAUGGGAGGUAAAUUUCUCCUAAGGCUAAAUAUUGGCGAGAGACCGAUAGCGAACAAGUACCGUGAGGGAAAGAUGAAAAGAACUUUGAAAAGAGAGUUAAACAGUACGUGAAAUUGUUGAAAGGGAAACGAUUGAAG
RNAcentral lists this ribosomal RNA (378 nucleotides) under Funneliformis mosseae. RNAcentral describes it as "eukaryotic LSU rRNA". It matches the Rfam family "Eukaryotic large subunit ribosomal RNA", at positions 58 to 428 of the family's 3401-position model. The record is from RNAcentral. Lineage: Eukaryota; Fungi; Glomeromycota; Glomeromycetes; Glomerales; Glomeraceae.